GGAGAGGUGGCCGAGUGGUCGAAGGCAGUAGUCUUGAAAACUACCGCGCGCGCAAGCGUGCCGUGGGUUCGAAUCCCACCCUCUCCGCCA
This 90-nucleotide transfer RNA is filed under the name Hyphomicrobiales bacterium. RNAcentral describes it as "tRNA-Ser". It matches the Rfam family "tRNA". Rfam says of the family: Transfer RNA (tRNA) molecules are approximately 80 nucleotides in length. Lineage: Bacteria; Pseudomonadati; Pseudomonadota; Alphaproteobacteria; Hyphomicrobiales. The record is from RNAcentral.